Molecule: long non-coding RNA, 3749 nt
Organism: Metopolophium dirhodum (rose-grain aphid)
Lineage: Eukaryota; Metazoa; Arthropoda; Insecta; Hemiptera; Aphididae
Exons: 3
Source: RefSeq, a predicted model, not a curated record
UUUGAAAAAGUAUUGACUUUUUUCAAAAUUUUUUUUUUUCAAAAUUGUAGAUUUAUGCUGUUCUAGAAUUGAAUAUUUUUUUUAUAUUUUUCACCCUUAUAUUUAUUAGGUAAACCACUAUCAACUUUUGAUUUUCAAAUGGUAACCUAUACUUAAAAUUUCAUAAUUUAAUAAAACUAUUUUUUUCAUUAAUUAUUACGUUCAAAUUUUCAUUUUUCGUUAAUCCGUUGAUGAGAUAUUGCUCCUCAAAGUUGGGUGGUUUUGGGAGGUAGUUGGGUGUGUGUACAGUAAAUGUGUUAUACCUCGUCAGUAAAUACCGCAGUUAUUAGGAUUUGUAUGCCCCGGGGCUAAAGAUAUUACAUUUUAAAAUCAAUUCAAGUAGGUGCAGUAAGGUUGAGUUGUGCCCCUAAAUGUAUUGUAUAAUAUCCAUUUGGCUGGGUGUCCGCCGUUCGCCCCACUAAAGGUGAUUUCGUCACUGGUCAUAAUAAUUCUUAUCGAUUAUAAAAACCAGAAGUUAAAAGUUUUAAAUCCUAUAUCGUUCGAACCCAAGGUAAUGAUAAUUGAUAACUUAUUGUCAUAAUGUCAUAUUUUAAGUAAUUGGACCAUUAGUGUCACUUGCGCAUACUCGCGUGUAAUUCCCUCGACCCCAUUAAAUACCUAUUAAGUAUGGAGUACCGACAAUUUGUGACAACGGACACAACGAUACGUGAUUGUUGUCUGAUUAGUGAUUAGACUGAUAUGCGCAUAUAUCUUAUAAUAUCUAUGGUGGAUUUGCGAUUAGGUAAUAACAGAUACUAGAUAGUACCUACUAUCAUCUACUAUGUUUAUAGUGCUCUGCGCUGAUAUCGUGGUUCCGUGGUUACAUGAUAUGGAAGUAUACCUAAUACUGGGUUAGCGUUAAUCACAUAACAAUCCGUUAGUAGACAAAUGGUUAAGAUAAUAACUCGGACCUAAUUUAAUCGUGACUCGUGGUCGUAGGUAUUUUAUUUUUGAAAUACCUAUUAGUUCUUGUAUAAUAUAAUAUAAUUAUUGUCUUAUUCACCACAUAUUGUAUUUUACGUAUUUUAUUUAAUAAUUUAAUACUUUAUCAAUCAUAUAAGUACCUAAAUUUACUUAUUACACUUGAAUUAGAUGCUUGGUGAUUACAUUUGUACAAUUUAUUGUUUAAUCAUUUAUACAUAAUACACUAUUUUUGUUCAAAUGUAUACCUAACCAAGGAACACUGGUACUUACUGGAUAAUACAUGAGUUGUUAUACAAUGAAGUGGCAUAAUAUGACAACACAGAAAUAUUGUGAUAAUAUUUCCAUAUUAUUUAAAAUUAGUCAUUACAAUACUCAGCUGGACACUGGGUUUUUCAUGAAAGUCUAUACCUACUCUACAAAUGUUAUAUCAAAAUCUCCACUUUUUAGUUCCUAAACUAAAAGUGAAUAGAAAAUUAUUUAUCUACAUAAUAUGUGAUGAUUCAAAAUCAGUUUCACAUAGGUAAUUUUACCUAAUUUAAAUAUGCCAUAAUGGAAUCAGCUACCUAUGACACACAAUUCAGAAGAUCCUGUAUGUUAAAAUUAUAUUCAUACUGCUAUGUUUAAUUACAUUUUAAAAUGGUAACUGUGAAAAAUAAAAAUAAUUUUUCACAUAUUGGAUUUAAAUAUUUCAACAGACUACAGAACAAAAUAAAAUAUUCAAGACAAUUGCAAAGAAGUGGGAAAAAUGUAGCUGGACUAAGUGCAUACAUAUUACAAAUGAUGUGUAUUGAAACUAAAAAUGUUGUGAAUGUUAAUGUUUUGUACUUUGUAUGAUAUUUUAAUUAAUUUAAAUGAGGUGACAACAUCAAUCAUUACAAAUCAAAAGAUAAAAUAAUGUAUGUUGUGUUUAAUACACACAAUAUAAUAUGUAGAUUGUGUAAAUCAAAUAAAGAAUUUAAAUAAAAAUAAAAUAGGUAUGUGAUUUAUAAUUAUUUUUCAGUUAUUACGUUAACAAUAGUAUAAAUGCUCAAUGUAAAGUAUUUAAAAAAAUAUAAAUGUAUUAUUAUUAAUAUACAUAUAUUUUUUUUAAUGAUAUUAGUAUUACAUUGUAUAAUGAUAAAUACUUAAUUACUUUUGUCAAUGAUUGGUGUUGUCAUUAAAUAAUAAUUAGUACUAAAUUCAAAUAAGAAUAUUAUUAACACCAUUUUUAAAUUUUACUAAGUCUGGGGUGAUUGAAAAGUUUGUUUUAAUUUUUUGAAUACAUGUUUUAUCUUUACUCAUAUUUUGCAUAACUGCAAAACGAACAUUUUGAUUAAACUGUAUCAUCAUUUUGAAAUAGAUUUUUCAUAGUCCUGGGCUUAUUAAAGUAAAAUUGUUUAAUGGUUCACGAUAAUAUCAGUAUAAAAUGUGAGAAAUUCGGUCGUGAACAGGGUUCAGGGCUAAACAGAACCUAAAAUCAUCAAAUCAAACAUUUAAAUAAUCAAAAUUAAGCAAUCUAAAAAAUGGUUAUUCUCUCCCUAGUUUUUGUUAGUGGUUAUCACUUGCAUCAUAUUAAAGUAGAAAAUAUACAUUAAAAAAUUUAAAAUGUGUUAAAAAGAACACUCUAAAAUGUGGGGUGCUAUAAUAUUUCAUAUUUUAAAAACAUUAAAUUGAUGGCAUUUCACUAUAAUAAUGAUAGUUAAAUCUAAAAAAACAAGGGGUGCUAAAUUAGAGCUUGGCGUGCUAAAGACCCUUCUGUGACAAUGGUCUCAAACCCUGUUCAUGACAUUGAGAAUAUGAUUUUUUUUAUAAUUAUUUAAGUUUAUUAGUGCCUUAUGUAUUUGCAUGUAUAUCAUUAUUAUUUAAAUACCUACCUAUUGAUUAAAUUCAUGUGAUUGGUCAAAAAGACCUAGUCCUACCAAGUAUAUUACAACUAUUGAAGUGACCUAUGGCGAAUUAUUUAUAUUAUACUAAUAUUUGAUUUGGAAUUGUAAAUGCAUUAAAUUGAAAUUGUAAACAUAAAAAAAAGUUGUUUAUACCUAAUAUUAAAUUAGUUCAGAGUUAUAUUUAUUAGGUAUUAUAUAAUGUUAACUUGUUGAAAAUAUUAUUUAAAUUUAUGUUGGUAUUGUAUUUCCAGAUUUGUAAUAAAUUGUAAUUUUAAUACCACUGUACAAUUAGUGUUAUAUUAUGUGUAAAAUUAAUUUUUAUCUUGAUUCUUCGGGACUAUAAAAAAAGUUAAAAUGUUAAAUUCUCACAGACCCUAGUGUUAUGUACUUGUCAAACUUCUUUAUUCGAUGUGCAUGUGCCUAAAUGAUAUUUUAUAUGUAUAAGAAGAGGUACAAUAUUUGAUUUGUUCAAAAAAAAAAAAUUAUUAUUAAAAAUAUUAAAUCCUCAUAGGUAUUCUGGUAUUUACAUGUUUAUAGUAUCCAUAUGGUAAACAGUAGAAAAUAUAAAUAUUAAAUGUAUAAUAAUAAUUAACACAUUAUUUUGUAUUAGUUAAAUCUACCAAAGCUAUACACAGUUAUAUGUAUAUUAUUAAAAUAUGUAUAAAAAAAAAAUUAAGUUAAUUUAUUGUUAAUAUUAUGGUCCAUUAUAUCAUAAUUUAUACAUUUAUUAUUAAUUGUUAUUGUAUACAUUUAUCAUUGAAAUACAGAUUUUUAAUAAUUUUAGAAGUUUUAUUAUCAGUAAUCUAGUUGUUGCAACUGUAGUACAGACUGUCUAAUUGAGUAACAAAAACAGGAUUUUAUUUGUGACAUAAAUUAACAGUAAGUUACUGCUACUAUUUAUUUUGUAAAUACACAUACUGG